This 405-nucleotide ribosomal RNA is filed under the name uncultured Anaeroplasma sp. Its description in RNAcentral is "bacterial SSU rRNA". It matches the Rfam family "Bacterial small subunit ribosomal RNA", at positions 358 to 774 of the family's 1533-position model. Lineage: Bacteria; Bacillati; Mycoplasmatota; Mollicutes; Anaeroplasmatales; Anaeroplasmataceae. The record is from RNAcentral.
GGAAUUUUCGGCAAUGGGCGGAAGCCUGACCGAGCAACGCCGCGUGAACGAAGAAGUAUUUCGGUAUGUAAAGUUCUUUUAUUUGGGAAGAAAAGACAGAUUGACUGUACCAAAUGAAUAAGCUCCGGCUAACUACGUGCCAGCAGCCGCGGUAAUACGUAGGGAGCGAGCGUUAUCCGGAAUUAUUGGGCGUAAAGGGUGCGUAGAUGGCAAUAAAAGUUUCUUGUAAAAAUGCUAGGCUCAACCUAGUAGGGCAAGGGAUACUAUAUAGCUAGAGUAUGAUAGAGGCAAGUGGAACUCCAUGUGUAGCGGUAAAAUGCGUAAAUAUAUGGAAGAACACCAGUGGCGAAGGCGGCUUGCUAGGUCAAUACUGACAUUGAGGCACGAAAGCGUGGGGAGCAAACA